Molecule: long non-coding RNA, 1369 nt
Organism: Dromiciops gliroides (monito del monte)
Lineage: Eukaryota; Metazoa; Chordata; Mammalia; Microbiotheria; Microbiotheriidae
Exons: 3
Source: RefSeq, a predicted model, not a curated record
CUGAUCUGGAAAAUAUAUCCAGGACAAUGUCAGAAUCAUUGAACUACCUGAAAGCCAUAAUCAAAAGGAGGAUCUGGACAGCCUCUUUCAAGAAAUUACUGAGGAAAACUCCCUGGAUAUCCUGAAACCAGAUGGCAAAAUAGGCAUUGAAAGAAUCCACAGAUCACCUCAGGAUAGAGAUUCCCAAAAGGAAUAUUAAUAGCAAAAUUUGAGAACUAAUCAGAUUAAGGAAAAAAUACUGCAAGUGACCAGAAAGAAACAAUUCAGAUAUUGGGGAGCCAUGAACAGGAUUACAUAGGACGUAUCAGCUGCAACAUUAAAGGAUAUGAAGUCAUGGAACAUGUUAUUCUGAAAGGCAAAGGACCUAGGACUACAACCAAGAAUAACUUACCCAGCAAAAUUAAUCAUAAUACUUCAAAGGAAAAAAUGGUUAUUCAAUGAAAGAGGAUUUUGUUUUCAUAAGGAGAAGACCAGAAUUGAAUAACAGAUUUGGUCUCUAAUAUCAAGACCCAAGAGAAGCCUCAAAAGGAUAUAAAUGUAUGCUUUGUAACCCUAAAGUAGUGAAUUUUGAAUGUGCAUUAUUAUUAACUAUGUGUUCCCUGAGGAAGAGACAAGAGGCCAUAUGAGUCAGUUCCCUCAGCCAUCAUCCUGGGAAACGAACCCUGUGGAGAUGAAGCCUGGCAAUUCUGCUGAAGGACCAGAAAAUAAAGUUCUUGUCACUGAAAUCCCUGGCUCUAUCAAAUGGUUCAACAUCAGAAAUUGAUAUGAUUUUAUCAGCAGAAAUGACAUUAAAGAAGAUACAUGACCAUCUGCACUGCUGCUGUACUCUCUGACUUGCGACCUAAACCUUCCCUAUGUGUUGUCUCUCCUACUAGAAUGUGAGCUUCUUGGCAGUAGGGAAUGUCUUUUUUUAUUUGUAUUUCCAGCACUUAGCACAGUGCUUUGCACAUAGUAAGAUUAAUAAAUGCUUCAUUCAUUCAUUCUCCUUGAUGAUCAUGUAUUUAUAGAACACCUUUGAUAUGUCCAGCACAUGUAUAAAACAUGAUUCCUGCCAUUAAGAAGUAUAUAGGCUCAUUGGAGAGAUCAGAUAAUGUCACAUGAGACAAUUAUUGAACAAUACAAGGGAGCAGAUAAUUGAAUGCUAAACUGUAUGUUUUGAGUGUAGAAAUUCAAAGAAGGGAGAUAUUUGUAUAGGUUGAUAGUGGGGGGAAAUUUAAUUGAAGAGCCUGAAUUUGAGAGGGGAUGUUCAAUGGGGGGAGCAGUAAUUACUGACUUUAUGUUUGACAAUUUACAAAUGGCAAUUUUCUUUUUUUUUCUAAUAAUAAACAUUUUCAUUUAACUUUUGAUUUCCCAAUUUUAUCCCUCCUUC